UCAGUCAAUACUUGAAAUGUUGAAUUGCCCUAAAGGUUUCUGUGGAAUAAUGAGAUUAUUUGGAAGUUAAGUGUAGCUUACUGGGCAAGGUGGAAGGGCAGGUCAUGGUUGUAUUUGGCUAUGAAAGAACUAGACCCUGAGCCUUUUUGGAAGGGUUCAAGAGGGCAGUGUGAAACUAUGAUGACUUGGCCCAUCCUUGAAGAGAAGAAAUGAGGACAGAGGGUUUCUCCUGAGGCUAUGGAAAAUCUGGGCUAACUUAAGCUUACCCUGUCCUUAUGCACACAGUGUAUCUGCCAACUUAUGGAUGCUCUGGCUCUUAGUGGCUGUGGAGGAAUAAACUUGGAAUCCCAGCUGGAAAAUAUUAUAGGCAUACUGUUCAAUCAGCUGAAUGAAACAGUUGAGGUCUCAGAUCCUCACUCUGCACGGAACCACAGCCUUGCCCUGAAGGCUUUCUACAUCCUGACCAAGUUAUACAAUGAUCAGGUGGUAUUCUUAAUACGAAAGAACAUGCAAACCAGUGAUCCAGCCAAGAUAGUAUCAG
This 541-nucleotide long non-coding RNA is filed under the name Ursus maritimus (polar bear). Its description in RNAcentral is "lncRNA (ENSUMAG00000014627.1)". The record is from RNAcentral. Lineage: Eukaryota; Metazoa; Chordata; Mammalia; Carnivora; Ursidae.